RNAcentral lists this ribosomal RNA (255 nucleotides) under uncultured bacterium. RNAcentral describes it as "partial 16S ribosomal RNA". It matches the Rfam family "Bacterial small subunit ribosomal RNA", at positions 524 to 776 of the family's 1533-position model. The record is from RNAcentral.
UACGUAGGGGGCAAGCGUUGUCCGGAAUCAUUGGGCGUAAAGAGCUCGUAGGCGGCUCAGUAAGUCAGGUGUGAAAACUCCAGGCUCAACCUGGAGACGCCACUUGAUACUGCUGUGGCUAGAGUCCGGUAGGGGAGCAUGGAAUUCCUGGUGUAGCGGUGAAAUGCGCAGAUAUCAGGAAGAACACCCGUGGCUAAGGCGGCUCUCUAGUACGGUAACUGACGCUGAGACGCGAAAGCGUGGGGAGCGAACAGG